GGGAGCUGGCUAAUGAAUGGUGCUUGAUGACAGAUGAGUAAUGCCUGUUGCUUAAAGAUUGACAGUAUGAGGCAAGACUCCCAUUGCUACUUUAGAGGAAUUGAGAUUGACCUACCCAUAAAUUCAGACAAUGUCUUGAAGAGACUUUGGGAACAAGAUAUUCAGGCACAUUCCACUGUUAGAUUCACAGGGUGCCAGCCAUUGAUCUUUCCCUUUGUGGACUCAGUGAUCUUUGAGGAAGUGGCUAAGGACUUCACCCCGGAGGAGUGGACUUUACUGGAUCAAACUCAGAGAAACUUAUACAGAGAUGUGAUGCUGGAGAACUACAAGAAUCUGGUUGCAGUAGAUUGGAAGAUUCAUAUUAAUAUCAAAUGGACAGCACCUCAGCAGAAUUUUUUUCAGGGGAAACAUCCAGUAUGGUGGAAAUGGAGAGAAACCACUUUGGAGAGAAACUGUUUGACUUUAACCAAUGUUAAAAAAACCUUGAGUGAACGCUCAUGCCUUAAGACUCACAGGAGAACUUACUUUAGAAAAAAAGCCUGUGAGCAUAAUCAGUGUGAAAAAGCCUUCACAAAACCCUCUACCUUUACUUUACACAAGAAGACUGAUAUUGGAGAGGAACUUCCCAACUGUAAUCAAUGUGAAACAGCCUUCAGCCACCAUCUACUUGUCUGCAGGAAAACUCACACUCGAGAAACCAUAUUAAUGCAGUGACUGUGAAAAAGGCUUACCUUCCUCGUCACACCUUAGAGAAUGUGUAAGAAUUUAUGCUGGAGAGAGACCAGAUACUUGUAAGGAGUGUGUCAAAACCUUUUCUCAUUCUACAGGCCUUUUCGUACACAUGCAAACUCAUGAUGGAGAAAAACUCCAUGAAUGUAAAGCAUGCGGGAAACCCUUCACUCAGUCUUCAUAUCUUACUCAGCAUUUAAGAAUUCAUAGUAGAGUGUUACCUAUAGGAUGUAAGAAAUUUGGCAAAGCCGUUGCUAAAGACCUAGCACUAGGAGAAAACACUAUGUUUGUAAUGAAUGUGGCAAAGAGUUUACUUGUUUCUCAAAACUCAACAUUCACAUAAGGGUUCACACUGGAGAAAAACCUUAUGAGUGUAACAAAUGUGAGAAAGCCUUUACUGAUUCUUCAGGUCUUAAAAAACACAGGCGAACUCACACUGGAGAAAAGCCUUAUGAAUGUAAGGAAUGUGGGAAAGCUUUUGCUAACUCUUCACAUCUUACUGUACAUAUGAGAACCCACACUGGUGAAAAGCCUUAUCAGUGUAAGGAAUAUGGAAAAGCCUUUAUUAAUUCCUCUUUCUUUAAAAGUCACAUGCAGACCCACCCUGGUGUAAAGCCCUAUGACUGUCAACAGUAUGGGAAAGUUUUUAUUCGAUCCUCAUUUCUUAUUCAUCAUUUAAGAAGUCACAGUGCAGAAAGGCCUUUUGAAUGUGAAGAAUGUGGGAAAGCCUUUAGAUACUCCUCGUACCUUAGUCAGCAUAAAAGAACACACGCAGGGGAGAGGCCAUAUAAAUGUCAAAAAUGUGGGCAAGCCUUCACUGUCUCAUCAGGCCAUACAGUAGACAUGAGAACUCACACUGGUGAAUGACCCUUUGAAUGUCAGGAAUGUGGGAAAUGCUUUACUCGGUCCACAUAUCUUAUUCAACAUCUAAGAAGUCAGAGUGGGGAGAAACCAUAUAAAGAAUGUGGGUAAACCUUUAGUAAUUCCUCAUGUCUCACUGAAUGUGUAAGAAUUCACACUUUAGCUUAUACUUGGAAAGACUGUGGUAAAGCCACUAAUACUUCACACUUACUGAACAUGUACUCAUUCACAGUGGCAAUGUACACAAUCAUAAGGAAUGUGGGAAGCCUUCCUUGGUUUCACAGAUGUCAACAAUUCCAAUAGAAGAGAAGCUAUAUGAAUGUAAGGAAUGUGGGAAAGUCUUGGCUCCUUCCAUAGGCCUUACUUACUAUUCAUGUGUCUGUGCAUCCUAGGAAACAAACAGAAUAUAGGAAACCGUCAAUCAUUGUUCACAUCUUACUGAGUCUGAACUCAUGCUGGAGAGAAAUGCUAUGAAUGUGAGGAAGGUGGAAAAGCUUUCAUUGUUUUCCUCAGACCUUGCUGAGCUUGUGAGCACACUGGAUAUAAAUGCACAUCCUCUGAACGUAAGGAAUGUGUUGAAACCUUUUGCUCUCCUUAUACCUUAAUAUUCAACUGUGAUCUCACAAGUGUGAAAAAAUCUAAUGAAUGUAAGAUGUGUAGAGAUUUUUCUCUGUUUUUAGCUUCCACUUUGUGAAUGUGUCAAAGCACACUUUGAGAAGUCCCAUGAAUGAAAGAGAUGUCGGAAAGCCCUUGAUUGUUCUUGGCCAUUAGUAAACAUGAUCCACACUGAAGAGGAACUCUGACUGUGUGGAAGGUCAGAAAGCCUGUAUUAAUUUACGUGCAAAAAGUCACACUAGAGGAAUGCCGUACCAGAACCUGCGUUUGUAAAUAUACGUGUUUCAAAGAUGUAUAUAUUUUUAAUAAAAAUAUCUAGCUGAUUUGAA
Molecule: RNA transcript, 2534 nt
Organism: Sapajus apella (tufted capuchin)
Lineage: Eukaryota; Metazoa; Chordata; Mammalia; Primates; Cebidae
Gene name: zinc finger protein 559-like
Exons: 4
Source: RefSeq, a predicted model, not a curated record